CAGUCGCCGCGGGAAUACGUAGGGUGCGAGCGUUGUCCGGAUUUAUUGGGCGUAAAGGGCUCGUAGGUGGUUGAUCGCGUCGGAAGUGUAAUCUUGGGGCUUAACCCUGAGCGUGCUUUCGAUACGGGUUGACUUGAGGAAGGUAGGGGAGAAUGGAAUUCCUGGUGGAGCGGUGGAAUGCGCAGAUAUCAGGAGGAACACCAGUGGCGAAGGCGGUUCUCUGGGCCUUUCCUGACGCUGAGGAGCGAAAGCGUGGGGAGCGAACAGGCUUAGAUACCCGAGUAGUCCCUGUCUCUUAUAC
RNAcentral lists this ribosomal RNA (301 nucleotides) under uncultured bacterium. RNAcentral describes it as "partial 16S ribosomal RNA". It matches the Rfam family "Bacterial small subunit ribosomal RNA", at positions 509 to 807 of the family's 1533-position model. The record is from RNAcentral.